This is a non-coding RNA of Paramisgurnus dabryanus, 361 nucleotides long. NCBI's taxonomy places the organism in Eukaryota, Metazoa, Chordata, Actinopteri, Cypriniformes, Cobitidae. The record is from RefSeq and is a predicted model, not a curated record.
AGAUGGGUGCUCAUGGUGGCCUCCAAAUAAAUACAUGGACAGGCUGCUAAAGAGGGUCAGGAUGAUGGAGAUGCAAGAGCCAAAGACAGCACAGACCAAACACCAGGCCAGAAUUCUGCAUGAGUCAGAUUGAGUAAUUUUCACUCUAGAGACCCUGGGGUGACCACCAAGGACGAAUGCAAACUCCAGUGAGUGUCUUUUAAGAGCUAUCCCCUGAGUUUCUUUGUCUUCCAGCUACAAAAGUCCCAAAGGCUCUUUAAAGAGCUAUUCCCUGAGGGUCUUUGCCUUCGUAAGUAUACGUUUUGACUGACUGUCAAGAUACCUUCAACGUUUUAAUUGAUCCAAACUCAAAUACAAUGUC